This 292-nucleotide ribosomal RNA is filed under the name uncultured bacterium. Its description in RNAcentral is "partial 16S ribosomal RNA". The record is from RNAcentral.
GGACUACAAGGGUAUCUAAUCCUGUUUGCUCCCCACGCUUUCGUGCCUCAGUGUCAGUAUUAGGCCAGGUAGCCGCCUUCGCCACUGGUGUUCCUUCCGAUAUCUACGCAUUUCACCGCUACACCGGAAAUUCCACUACCCUCUCCCAUACUCUAGUCAUACAGUCUUAACUGGCCUUCCCAGGUUAAGCCCAGGGCUUUCACAGUUAACUUAUAUAACCACCUACGCACCCUUUACGCCCAGUAAUUCCGAUUAACGCUCGCACCCUCCGUAUUACCGCGGCUGCUGGCAC